Molecule: transfer-messenger RNA, 353 nt
Filed under: Verrucomicrobiia
Lineage: Bacteria; Pseudomonadati; Verrucomicrobiota
Also listed under: 1 other name
Description: UBA11320 sp016793885 Standard tmRNA
Rfam family: transfer-messenger RNA
About the family: Bacterial tmRNA, also known as 10Sa RNA or SsrA, is named for its dual tRNA and mRNA-like properties. Its role is to liberate the mRNA from a stalled ribosome.
Source: RNAcentral
GGGGGCGUACUGGUUUCGACCUUGUGAGUACGCCGGAGGCGGCAUGCCGAGGAUGGUUCGUUGGCCUCGUAAAAAAUCGAACCAAAAACAUAAAAGCUAACGAAGAGUUGGCCCUCGCAGCCUAAGUCUGCGACGUUCGUGCUCUAAUCCCGGCUAGGAGACACGAACGCAUUUAGUCGGGUGGGUAGGCUUGUGGAGACAGCGCGCAAGCCGCCGAGAAAUUCCAUGCUGACUAAGCUGCGCAAUUCGUGUUGGGGUGAUUCUGCGCGGACGAAAACUUACCCUGACUAAGCAUGUAGUCGCGGCCGGUUUCCUUGCUCGGGACGCGGGUUCAACUCCCGCCGCCUCCACCA